This 465-nucleotide ribosomal RNA is filed under the name uncultured bacterium. RNAcentral's name for it is "partial 16S ribosomal RNA". It matches the Rfam family "Bacterial small subunit ribosomal RNA", at positions 339 to 795 of the family's 1533-position model. The record is from RNAcentral.
CUACGGGACGCUCCAGUCGAGAAUCUUUAGCAAUGGGCGAAAGCCUGACUAUGCGACGCCGCGUGAGCGAUGAAGAUCUUCGGAUCGUAAAGCUCUGUCAGGCCGGAUGAAUUGUGGUUGGGUUAAUAUCCCGACCAUUUGACAGUACGGCCAAAGGAAGCCACGGCUAACUCCGUGCCAGCAGCCGCGGUAAUACGGAGGUGGCAGGCGUUACUCGGAUUCAUUGGGUGUAAAGGGCAUGUAGGUGGUUUUGUAAGUCGAACGUGAAAUCCCUUCGCUCAACGGAGGAACUGCAUUCGAUACUGCUUAACUUGAGUUUGGGAGAGGAGAGUGGAAUUCCCGGUGUAAGGGUGAAAUCUGUAGAUAUCGGGAGGAACACCAGUGGCGAAGGCGACUCUCUGGACCAAAACUGACACUGAAAUGCGAAAGCUAGGGGAGCGAACAGGAUUAGAUACCCGCGUAGUC